GACGGAGGGGGCUAGCGUUAAUCGGAAUUACUGGGCGUAAAGCGUGCGCAGGCGGUCUGCUAAGACAGGUGUGAAAUCCCCGGGCUUAACCUGGGAACUGCGCUUGUUACUGGCAGGCUGGAGUGUGGCAGAGGGGGGUGGAAUUCCACGUGUAGCAGUGAAAUGCGUAGAGAUGUGGAGGAACACCGAUGGCGAAGGCAGCCCCCUGGGCUAACACUGACGCUCAUGCACGAAAGCGUGGGGAGCAAACAGG
Molecule: ribosomal RNA, 253 nt
Filed under: uncultured bacterium
Lineage: Bacteria
Description: partial 16S ribosomal RNA
Rfam family: Bacterial small subunit ribosomal RNA
Source: RNAcentral